RNAcentral lists this ribosomal RNA (1200 nucleotides) under metagenome. RNAcentral describes it as "bacterial SSU rRNA". It matches the Rfam family "Bacterial small subunit ribosomal RNA", at positions 8 to 1226 of the family's 1533-position model. The record is from RNAcentral.
AGAGUUUGAUCCUGGGCUCAGGACGAACGCUGGCGGCACGCCUAACACAUGCAAGUCGAACGGAGAUGAUUUGAGUUUACUUAGAUCAUCUUAGUGGCGGACGGGUGAGUAACACGUGAGCAACCUGCCUUUGAGAGAGGGAUAGCUUCUGGAAACGGAUGGUAAUACCUCAUAACAUACAGAUACCGCAUGGUGACUGUAUCAAAGAUUUAUCACCCAAAGAUGGGCUCGCGUCUGAUUAGAUAGUUGGUGAGGUAACGGCUCACCAAGUCGACGAUCAGUAGCCGGACUGAGAGGUUGAACGGCCACAUUGGGACUGAGACACGGCCCAGACUUCUACGGGAGGCAGCAGUGGGGAAUAUUGCACAAUGGGGGAAACCCUGAUGCAGCGAUGCCGCGUGGAGGAAGAAGGUUUUCGGAUCGUAAACUCCUGUCUUAAAGGACGAUAAUGACGGUACUUUAGGAGGAAGCUCCGGCUAACUACGUGCCAGCAGCCGCGGUAAUACGUAGGGAGCGAGCGUUGUCCGGAAUUACUGGGUGUAAAGGGAGCGUAGGCGGGACGGCAAGUCAGAUGUGAAAUACAUGGGCUCAACCCAUGGGCUGCAUUUGAAACUGCUGUUCUUGAGUGAAGUAGAGGUAAGCGGAAUUCCUGGUGUAGCGGUGAAAUGCGUAGAUAUCAGGAGGAACACCGGUGGCGAAGGCGGCUUACUGGGCUUUUACUGACGCUGAGGCUCGAAAGCGUGGGGAGCAAACAGGAUUAGAUACCCUGGUAGUCCACGCUGUAAACGAUGAUUACUAGGUGUGGGGGGACUGACCCCUUCCGUGCCGCAGUUAACACAAUAAGUAAUCCACCUGGGGAGUACGGCCGCAAGGUUGAAACUCAAAGGAAUUGACGGGGGCCCGCACAAGCAGUGGAGUAUGUGGUUUAAUUCGAAGCAACGCGAAGAACCUUACCAGGUCUUGACAUCGAGUGCAUAACUAAGAGAUUAGUGAAAUCCCUUCGGGGACACUUAGACAGGUGGUGCAUGGUUGUCGUCAGCUCGUGUCGUGAGAUGUUGGGUUAAGUCCCGCAACGAGCGCAACCCUUACCUUUAGUUGCUACGCAAGAGCACUCUAAAGGGACUGCCGUUGACAAAACGGAGGAAGGUGGGGAUGACGUCAAAUCAUCAUGCCCCUUAUGACCUGGGCUACACACGUACU